This 495-nucleotide ribosomal RNA is filed under the name uncultured bacterium. Its description in RNAcentral is "partial 16S ribosomal RNA". It matches the Rfam family "Bacterial small subunit ribosomal RNA", at positions 29 to 506 of the family's 1533-position model. The record is from RNAcentral.
AUGAACGCUGGCGGCGUGCCUAAUACAUGCAAGUCGAGCGAACAGACGAGGAGCUUGCUCCUCUGACGUUAGCGGCGGACGGGUGAGUAACACGUGGAUAACCUACCUAUAAGACUGGGAUAACUUCGGGAAACCGGAGCUAAUACCGGAUAAUAUAUUGAACCGCAUGGUUCAAUAGUGAAAGACGGUUUUGCUGUCACUUAUAGAUGGAUCCGCGCCGCAUUAGCUAGUUGGUAAGGUAACGGCUUACCAAGGCAACGAUGCGUAGCCGACCUGAGAGGGUGAUCGGCCACACUGGAACUGAGACACGGUCCAGACUCCUACGGGAGGCAGCAGUAGGGAAUCUUCCGCAAUGGGCGAAAGCUUGACGGAGCAACGCCGCGUGAGUGAUGAAGGUCUUCGGAUCGUAAAACGCUGUUAUUAGGGAAGAACAAAUGUGUAAGUAACUAUGCACGUCUUGACGGUACCUAAUCAGAAAGCCACGGCUAACUACGU